GGAAGGGGGACAGGUGGAGGGAUGGAUGGACGGACGGAUGGACAGACACAGGGAUGGCUGGCUUCAGCAAGGCUCAUCCCCGUGCCAGUCGGGGGCUGGGAGCGCUCCUGGCAUGGCACCGACCCGCUGCUGUGUGUCCCCCCCGGGAACACGGGGCGUGCAGAGCCCUGGAGAGAUCCCCACGCUGGUGACACGGCCUGGGGCUGAGCAAAGCCCCCUCCCUGCCCCGGGGUCCCAUUUCUGUGUGCGGGGCGAUCCGUGUUGCCGAAGGAGCUGCCACCUCAUCCCUCCCCCCGCGCUCUACGGAGAGGAAACUUUUUAGCACGCCACAAUUCUUUGCAGAAAUUUACAGCCCAUGAGGGAGCCGUGCAGCGGGGCUGCUCUCUCCGCGCACGCUCGCAGGGUUUCCUCCCGGCGGAGGCAGCUUUGAUGCGACCCAUGCAGCCCGGCCGUGCACACCCCCAGCCCCUGCCCCGGCAGCCCCCGGCCCAGCCGGCCCUUCCUGCGGAAACGCAGUAGAGGCAAAGCGUUCCCCGAGCAGCGCUGUGCGUGCUGCUGUGCAAAGGGACGGCCGCAAACCCCCGCAGAGCUGCCCGUGCCCUCCUCCCAGCUCCCGUUCCUGCCCUUGAAGGACAGGAUCCAGCUGGCAUGGAGUGUGGCCAGCGGGCAGAGUGUCCGGACGCGGUUCCUGUCCCAGUCCCGCUGCUGACUCACGGUGCAAUGGGCUUGCACACGGGGUGAAGACGUGGCGUUUGCAGAGCUGAGAGCACCCAGCGCGGUGCAACUGCACUCAGCAGCAGAGUAGAGUCAAUCCCACGGCAGCAUGGACUGACCCCACAUCUAUCCCCAUCAGAGCACCCAACGCCCAGCACAGUGCCUGUCCACUGGCACAGCACUGGGUACCAGCACAGCAUCCAUCCCCACCCCACAAGUCCCUGUGCCCCAUCUCACAGCUGCUCCCGGCCCCCGCCACUCCCAGCGCCGACACACGGACCAGGGGGUUUGGUCACCUUUAUUCCCAGAGCAGCAGCGGGUGUCCCUUGGAGACAACCCCAUGGAGAAGGGGCUGUGGGAUGCAUCUGAGGAUGGAGCAGGCGGCUCUGGGGCACAGCACAGGUGAGCCUGGAGUGGCGGUGGGAAGGCUGGGGGUGGUGUGUGCCCCGGCACAGGUUUGUCCUGGUUCGUGUGUGUCCCAGUUCGGCGGUGCCCUGCUUCGGCGGUGCCUGGGUCUGGCUUUGUCCCGUCCCAGUUCCACGUGCCCCAGCUCGACUCACUCCCUCCCGGUUCAGAGAUGUUCCGGCCCAGCUGUGCCCGGUUGGGUGCUGCUCCGGUUCGGUGCUGCACCGGUUUGGGGAUGUCUCAGUCUGGAGAUAUCCUGGUUCGCAGAGUUCCUGCUUCGUGAUGUCCGGUUCGGGCCGGUCCCGGUUCGGAGAUGUCUCGCUUCGCGAUGUCCCGGUCCGGUCCCUCCCCGUCCCGUUCCCGCGGCACACGGUCGCCACCUCCCGGCCGCCAGUGACACCCACCGGCACCGGGACCCCCCGCGACCCCAUCCCAACCGCAGCGCCUGAGGCGGGCGCGGUGCCCGGCUCAGCCCCGGGCCGGGGGGUUCCGACUCAGAGCAGUUCGGGCGUGGAGGAGCCCAGGUAGGUGCGGAGGUCGCUGAGCGUGGACGGGAUGAUCUUGGCGGGGAUGGUGUCCCGGUUAAGCUCGCGGUGCGCCGCGUAGCGGUGACACCCCCCGAAGGAGUAGAAGUAGUCCCCGCCCUGGCUGCCCUUGAUCCAUAGCACGUCGAUGGGGGGGACCUGCUCGGGGUCCUCCUGCAGGGUCCGCACCAAACUCCGCACUUUCUCCGGCUCCAACACAGAGGGGAUGGGCCGGAUGAGGACGCUCAUGGGCACGUUGUGUACGGCGGCGAUGUGCUGCGUGUGGAUACUCCCGGUGCCGCCGUUCCCCUCCUCCUCGGCCAUGGCCACCGCCGCCACCUCCGGCCGCCGCUCCGCCGCUCCGCGCCCCGCACCGCCCCCCCCCGCCCCGCGCAGCGCCGCUCCCCGCAGCGCCGCCCGCCCUCCGCCCGCCGCCAUCGCCGCGCUUUGCAGCGUCACGGUGAGACCGCGGAAGGGGUUGGUCCCGCAGCCCGGGGGCGGCGGUGCCGUCGGGGAUGGGGCAAUGGGGCACUGAGCAGCCCGGGGGCCGUGCGCUGAGGAUCGGAGAGUGGGGUCACCGCCUGGAGCUGCGUGGAACCGACACGGAUAGACCGGGGGGUGGGGGGGGGAGGGGAGGAGGAGUCGGGGGGAGCUUCAGCCGUGGGUCUGUAUUCGUGGAGCUGUGGGAUAUCCCGGAUUAGAAGAAACAGAGGUCACCGGGUCCGGUUCCUGGCUGGGAUGGAUGUUCUGGGACAUUUCUGGGUCAUUUCUUGGAAUCAAUGUCCCCAGUGGUGGAGAGGUUCUGGGGAAAAGUUUGGGUCCCCCACGCCCCCUGUUCCGAGCCCCCCACACCCCUGUCCCGAGCCCUGUACACCCCCUGCCCCAGCUGCACGGUUCUCUAUCCCCAGUGCUGACUCAGGGUCACAUCCCAUGGGCAGCGUCCCACGCAGCGCUGGGUGACCCCUCCGCCCUUCACCGCUGACGGUGAGGAUGAGGAAGGACAGCACAGCAGAGCCCCAUUGGUGGAUUCGGGACACAACACCCCGUGAUCCCAGCUGGGCAGUUCCCACAAUCCCCACCCCACUGCUGGGACUCCGCACUUUGCUUUGCUUUGCUUUCAGAUCGGUGCUCUGCUGCUGCUGCUCCCCCUGGUGCUUUCUGCAAGCGGGAUGCAGUGCCGAUAUUGGGGUGCAGUGCUGAUAUUGGGGUGCAGUGCCGAUAUUGGGGUGCAGUGCCGAUAUUGGGGUGCAGCACUGCUUGCAGAGCCCUCACUGCAGGUGCCACCGCUGCCCUCUGAGGAUGUGCACGGAGCACCUGCUGCCCACCCACCGCCGCGUGCACAAACAGCCCGAGACACACCUGGUAGUGGCAGAAGUCCCUUUUAUAUCCCUGAAUUGCAUUACAAGUAAUACUGCGGGCGGUCGGUUCUCCUCUUACCGCGGCCUGUCCAAUACAAAACCUGGCAGAAAAAGAAAAGCGAUCAUGCACGGAAAAAAUUAUUGCUGUGGUAUCCGCUAUGUACAGUAUAACACACGGGGCAGCCCCGCGCGCUGCGCUGCCCGAGGGGACGCACGAAAAACGCUGCGGCUCGGGCUGCCCACGGGGCUCAAAGUGACCCUGGGAGCCACGGGCACGGCGGGAGGAAGACUGCGGUGGGAGGAAGACGGAGCAGGAAGACUGCAAAGGGAGAGCCGGGCUGAGCCCCUGGGUGCCGAGGCCCGAGGUAGGAGCGGCUCGCUGCGGGACGGGGGUUGCAUAGAAUCGCUGCUUCGUCCCCGUGCAGGGAGCAGAGCGGGAGCUGGCGGUGUGGGGUUCUGUCUCUUGGGGCUGCGUCCCCAUCCGUGUCCCGGCGGCUGCGUCCCGGGCACGGCGAUCCGCCUCCGGUCUUGGCAAAUAAAUAGUGAAAAGCAGAAGGAAUAAAUAAUAUAAAUAAGAGCGUCAAUUAAAUAGACUCACCCGGGCUCUGCGGCGCCACUGACCC
RNAcentral lists this long non-coding RNA (3624 nucleotides) under Gallus gallus (chicken). The record is from RNAcentral. Lineage: Eukaryota; Metazoa; Chordata; Aves; Galliformes; Phasianidae.